GGAGAGGUCUCUUGUUUCUUUUGUAAUUUCAAUGGUACAGACUAUUGGUGCUAUAAAUACGUUCACAAAUAUUUUGAAGUUGCAGUUUUAUUAUAUGACUCUUGAUUUACAGAUUAUACAAAUUUUGUUUGUUGUCCCUCAGAUAACCUAUAAGAAAUUAAUAGAAAACUUGCCCUUCCUGGUUAAUUUGGCUGGAUUUUAUUUUAAUGAAGCCUACCAGUAGUUCACCUGUAACAGCAGAAGGAGAAAUACUUGCAGGUAGUAAGUCUUCAUUUUCUGUCCAUCCUUGGAAAGGCCAAAACUGGUUCUCCCUGCUGUAGCUAAACAGAUUAAUAGCAGUGUAAGUGGUGGAGCAAAUGUUCAAACCAAAAACAGGCGUAACUACACUAAGGUACAAAUGCUUUUUGUUCUCCAUAUGGGUUUUAUUUUUUAUUUUAUUUUUUUUGUGUUUACUAUAUCAUGUUGAAAUGACAUUAAGUAAUGUCACUGUGUGUGUGUGUGUUGGCAUAGAACUUGUGAAAGCACUGGUUCAGAGUGAGUGGUUGUUUUUUUGUUUUUUGUUUUUUUUUCUUUUGUUUUGUUUGUUUGUUUGUUUGUUUUUAAAUAUAUGUCUAUGUUGAGCUUCACCUUCAUUAAUAUGGCCUAGCUUGAACUAAAACCCUGACCAAAUUGGCUACCAAUUUGACGUGGCACACAUGCCUCAAUGUGUGACCUUUGCAUUUGAAACCCCAAACUAUUUGCAGAUAAGCAUGUUUCCUAAAAGGUGUUUUUCUGUCUGAUCUUUUAUUAUUUUCUCAUUUGAGGAUAGUAGCAGUGUGUGUAUAUAUUCUUUUUUUAUUUUCAGACUUAAUUUUUUUUUUUUUUUUUUUUUGGUCACACCAUACCCCAAACUGAAGCACAGAUUACCAAAAUCAUCCCUCUGUCAUGGGUACAUGUCAGCAGUGUACACUGUAAUGCACUGUCACAGGUAAAGGUGUUUUUAUUUUGGGCAUGGCUUUGACAUGGCUCUGUAGAAAAUUAAGAUUUGAAGGUCCAAAGUUUUAGUCCAAUGCCGCUUGAUUUUUAAAAAAGGGCCCCCAAGUAGCUGAAUGGAAGGUACUCAACUUCAGGGUUUUUGUCACCUUUCUUUGAGACACUCAGGAAUUUUUUAAUAUAAGCAUACUGCAUAGUCUACACUCAGACCUGUGGCAGUGCAUUGAUGCAUCAAUGUAAAACAUUUUCUUUGAUUGUUGAACAAGUUAUUGACAGGAGUUCUUUCCAAAUAGCAGAGGUGACUUUCAUUAAUUUAGAGCUGUAGUUUUAGGAGGGGGGAAAAAAGAACUAAGCCAUUGUAAAUUGCAUAAGCAAUGUGGAAGGGAGUCCCACGAGCCCCGAGUCCUAUGCAAUACCUUGGCGCAUGGAAACAUUGAAGAGAAUAUGGAGAAAUGUCAUUUAGUUACUUUUGCAUGUGGAUCGCUUUUGAGUGAGGAACACAUGAGACAGAAAAAAAACAAACUUAUGGAAUGUCUCUAAAAAUACAGCAUGCAAACAUCACACUCCAUCUUUUUUAGUUGGAUUAUUAUGGGUAAAAAAAAAUAAACUUGCGAGGUUAAAGUGAUUGAAAGAAUGUUAUGACUGUGUGUGUGAAACUGUCAGUGAAUGUGUGCAAGAAAUCACAAAAGACACUUACUUGGGAGUUCUGUAUUUAACUCUUCCAUUUUGAUAGGCUGUGUUUGAAACAAAACAUUUGACGAGUAAACGCAUUCAGAGAGGGUUUAUGUGUUUGGAGAGACUUCUUACAAGCAAACUUUCAACUGCGCUGUGGUCUGAAGAGCAUAUCCAGCACAGAAAACCCAAGUUUUCCUCGUCUGUUCAUUCCCAAAUAGAUGAUGCUCCUUUGCCCUCCCUCUUCUCUAUGUUCCUGAACCCUAUGUGUCCUGAGUAGCUGUGUUCUUAUUUCAUGUUCACCCUGAGCAAAUUAUUUUGUUUCAUUGUGGAUUUUCUUAACAUCUAAUAAAGGAUUAAACCAAAAUGCAGUCUGUAGGUUCCUGUGUCUUUGCAUUAUCCAGAGUGUUGAAAGGAAGUAAGAGCAGCAUUACAUUUUAGCUCGCCAGCCUCACGGUGACACCAGAGAGCAGGUGAGGCACUGCCAGCUGCUUAAGUAUUUAUAGCACAUGUCAGACUGCAGCUUUUAUUCUUGUGGACAAUGUUUUUAAGAUCCUGUAUACUUUUGUGUACCAAAGGUGGUUUUUCCAAUAGAUUAUUGGAUGGUUUUUGAAAGGCUAAUAUAACAGCAACAGCCUUGCUUCAGUGCAAUGGAAAAUAAUUUAUCCAUUGCACUGAAGAAUUGUGACUAAAUAUUUAACAUUACGUUAUGAGAUUAUCCACACAUACACAUUUAGAUUUUAUAUUUCUAAUGUAACAGAAUAAAAUGAAUGUGAUAUUUGUGGUUGUCAAACAAACCCAAUGUGUUUAUAAGAUGUAG
Oreochromis aureus is the source of this 2464-nucleotide long non-coding RNA. The record is from Ensembl. NCBI's taxonomy places the organism in Eukaryota, Metazoa, Chordata, Actinopteri, Cichliformes, Cichlidae.